AUUGAACGCUGGCGGAAUGCUUUACACAUGCAAGUCGAACGGUAGAGGGGGCAACCCCUUGAGAGUGGCGAACGGGUGAGUAAUAUAUCGGAACGUGCCCAGUCGUGGGGAUAACGUAGCGAAAGUUACGCUAAUACCGCAUACGAUCUACGGAUGAAAGCGGGGGACUCGCAAGAGCCUCGCGCGAUUGGAGCGGCCGAUAUCAGAUUAGGUAGUUGGUGGGGUAAAGGCUCACCAAGGCCAACGAUCUGUAGCUGGUCUGAGAGGACGACCAGCCACACUGGAACUGAGACACGGUCCAGACUCCUACGGGAGGCAGCAGUGGGGAAUUUUUGGACAAUGGGCGCAAGCCUGAUCCAGCAAUGCCGCGUGCAGGAUGAAGGCCUU
RNAcentral lists this ribosomal RNA (387 nucleotides) under uncultured bacterium. RNAcentral's name for it is "bacterial SSU rRNA". It matches the Rfam family "Bacterial small subunit ribosomal RNA", at positions 30 to 418 of the family's 1533-position model. The record is from RNAcentral.